CCUCGUCAGUCGCUCAGUAGGUA
RNAcentral lists this microRNA (23 nucleotides) under Heliconius melpomene (postman butterfly). Its description in RNAcentral is "Hme-Mir-3-P14_5p* (star (passenger))". The record is from RNAcentral. Lineage: Eukaryota; Metazoa; Arthropoda; Insecta; Lepidoptera; Nymphalidae.